GACAGCAAUAUGAAGGCCAGGCUGAAGACUUUGCCGGAUUAGCUGAGAGGUGGUGCAUGCCGUCGUCAGUUCGUACUGUGAAGCAUCCUGUUAAGUCAGGCAACGAGCGAGACCCACGCCCACAGUUGCCAGCGUACUCUCUGGAGUGACGGGUACACUGUGGGACCGCCGCUGCUAAAGCGGAGGAAGGAAUGGGCAACGGUAGGUCAGUAUGCCCCGAAUAUCCCGGGCUACACGCGAGCUACAAUGGUUGGUACAAUGGGUAUCUACCCCGAAAGGGGACGGGAAUCUCCUAAAACCAAUCUUAGUUCGGAUUGAGGGCUGCAACUCGCCCUCAUGAAGCUGGAAUCCGUAGUAAUCGCGUUUCAACAGAACGCGGUGAAUACGUCCCUGCUCCUU
Molecule: ribosomal RNA, 399 nt
Filed under: uncultured Methanosaeta sp.
Lineage: Archaea; Methanobacteriati; Methanobacteriota; Methanomicrobia; Methanotrichales; Methanotrichaceae
Description: bacterial SSU rRNA
Rfam family: Archaeal small subunit ribosomal RNA
Source: RNAcentral